RNAcentral lists this ribosomal RNA (497 nucleotides) under uncultured bacterium. RNAcentral describes it as "partial 16S ribosomal RNA". It matches the Rfam family "Bacterial small subunit ribosomal RNA", at positions 28 to 507 of the family's 1533-position model. The record is from RNAcentral.
GAUGAACGCUGGCGGCGUGCCUAAUACAUGCAAGUCGAGCGAACAGACGAGGAGCUUGCUCCUCUGACGUUAGCGGCGGACGGGUGAGUAACACGUGGAUAACCUACCUAUAAGACUGGGAUAACUUCGGGAAACCGGAGCUAAUACCGGAUAAUAUAUUGAACCGCAUGGUUCAAUAGUGAAAGACGGUUUUGCUGUCACUUCUAGAUGGAUCCGCGCCGCAUUAGCUAGUUGGUAAGGUAACGGCUUACCAAGGCAACGAUGCGUAGCCGACCUGAGAGAGGGAUCGGCCACACGGGAGCUGAGACGCGGUCCAGACUCCUACGGGAGGCAGCAGUAGGGAAUCGUCCGCAAUGGGCGAAAGCCUGACGGAACAACGCCGCGUGAGUGAUGAAGGUCUUCGGAGCGUAAAACUCUGUUAUUAGGGAAGAACAAAUGUGUAAGUAACUAUACACGUCUUGACGGUACCUAAUCAGAAAGCCACGGCUAACUACGUG